Acanthosepion pharaonis is the source of this 109-nucleotide non-coding RNA. The record is from the annotation of a GenBank genome assembly. Lineage: Eukaryota; Metazoa; Mollusca; Cephalopoda; Sepiida; Sepiidae.
GGCCGCAUCAUGUUGAAACAUCGAUUCCUAUACGAUCAACGACGUUAAGAAACGUCGAGCCUGGUUAGUACCUACAUGGGUAACCGCUUCGGAAUACCCGGUGCUGUAA